This is a small nucleolar RNA of Suricata suricatta (meerkat), 67 nucleotides long. Its record names the gene SNORD63. It matches the Rfam family "Small nucleolar RNA SNORD63". Rfam says of the family: snoRNA U63 is found in both humans and mice. U63 is a member of the C/D class of snoRNA which contain C (UGAUGA) and D (CUGA) box motifs. NCBI's taxonomy places the organism in Eukaryota, Metazoa, Chordata, Mammalia, Carnivora, Herpestidae. The record is from Ensembl.
GUUCAGCGAUGUAUUGUCAGUACAUCAUUCUGAAGAAAACAGUGGUGACUUCCUGGGACUGAGUAUA